Molecule: long non-coding RNA, 1590 nt
Organism: Prionailurus viverrinus (fishing cat)
Lineage: Eukaryota; Metazoa; Chordata; Mammalia; Carnivora; Felidae
Exons: 5
Source: RefSeq, a predicted model, not a curated record
CCUGAAGAAUUACUUUUCUGAUUGUUUUUUUUUUUGUUGUUGUUAUUGUUUUUUUCAGAUUCAACACCAAAAAAAGCAGGGAGAAACUAAGACUCAAUCAAGGCUGUAGCUUAAAUGCAUUUGAAGGGAGUUUACUACUGUGUUACUGGGCAUUUUUUUUCUUGUAUCAUCAACAGACUUGGAAAAAACUCACUUUUUACUAUAGAUUUUAUUCUAUACAACAUUAAUGCAGAUACAAGCAGCCAGUGUCUACUGAGAGAAUUCUUACCCUCUUCUCCAGAGCAUAUUAUUUUGCACCUCUUCUGUGAAGGCUAGGAGAAUGAUUGCUUGUAAGGGAAAUUUUUAAAGUAGUGUUCAGUAACUUCAAAUGAAUAAGAUGGACCGUCACAUUGAUCUAUUUUAAAACUACUCUUUCAAACAUAUGAAGUAUUUGACUUUUCCCAGUGGGUUCCCAUGUACUUCAAAGACCCUGCUGUAGUUUGCUAGUUCUCUGUGUUAAUAGAAUCUUCCAUGUAAGAGUUCCACAUCAAAGGCAAGGACAAAAUAAAACGUCUCAAGUUGACUCAUGCCUUUGUGAAGCUUGUCUUUGAUAAUAAGUGGAACUGAGUCUAUAUUAUCAUCUUGGCACAACAGCAGCAACCAGCCAGCUCUUGGAAUCUCUCAUGCUUUCCUCCUAAGAAAACAAGAGGUGGUUUGCAUGUUCCUUCAUUGACUCAGUGAGUUACAUCAGUCAUCCUGGGAAAGAGAAUUAUAAUUGAAAGGAAUGACACUAUUAUGCUGGUCUCCUCAGUGCUGGGAGCUGACUAGCCAAGAUUGUUUUUCUUCCUUUUACAUGGGCUAUGAGAAGGAUCUGGUUUCAGUUCUUGGUAUUGCACCUGUUUAAACAGAGUUCAGAGAAAGACUGGUCAGGUGGUCAUUUUCUGGCAAAGGAAGGAAAAGCAAAGGAAUGAGAGACUGUGUUUGGAGUCAGGGGUGGGAAGAGUGCUCACCCUGGAAGCUGUAUGAGAUCUGCAGCUGGGAUGCAGAAAACAAUAGAGUGAUACAGCAAGAAUCAGAAGGGAAAUCCUGCCAGAAAUUACAUGAGAGCCCUGAUGUGAACUUUGGUUAAUAGGCUGGGUCUUCACUGUCCGUAACACAAAGCAAAACCAUCUUUAUCUGUUUUGAAAGACUGGAUAACGGUUCUUUGCAAUUUGUUUGUUUAAUACAGGCUUAAUCUCCCUCCAGCCCACUCUCCUGUCUGACACCAAAUCAAAAACUCAACUGAAACAAAAGAAAAAAGGUAUUGCUGCCAGUAGCUUUAAGAUUUCGAUUAAAAACAUUUUUCAUUCAUUCUGAAAAUAGUUGAUGAUUAAUGGGCAUUAGUUAACCUCAAAGAAUUUUAAAGGACUGAGAUGUGCCCCAGUCUUCAAACACCAGUUUUUCUCCCUGGCCCCACCCCCCACUAGUCUCCACGCAGUUUUAAAACUCAAUCCCUGCAGAUUAUGCAAAGAAAGGUUUUUCACAUGUCCUUUGGCACUUCUGCUUUCAUCAUCUAUAGUCCCAUUUCCUCCCUUCAGGUAAUGGUGACUUCCCUUCACAAACUCCAGCUGA